GAUAAACGCUGGCGGCGUGCCUAAUACAUGCAAGUCGAGCGAACGGACGAGAAGCUUGCUUCUCUGAUGUUAGCGGCGGACGGGUGAGUAAUACGUGGAUAACCUACCUAUAAGACUGGGAUAACUUCGGGAAACCGGAGCUAAUACCGGAUAAUAUUUUGAACCGCAUGGUUCAAAAGUGAAAGACGGUCUUGCUGUCACUUAUAGAUGGAUCCGCGCUGCAUUAGCUAGUUGGUAAGGUAACGGCUUACCAAGGCAACGAUGCAUAGCCGACCUGAGAGGGUGAUCGGCCACACUGGAACUGAGACACGGUCCAGACUCCUACGGGAGGCAGCAGUAGGGAAUCUUCCGCAAUGGGCGAAAGCCUGACGGAGCAACGCCGCGUGAGUGAUGAAGGUCUUCGGAUCGUAAAACUCUGUUAUUAGGGAAGAACAUAUGUGUAAGUAACUGUGCACAUCUUGACGGUACCUAAUCAGAAAGCCACGGCUAACUACGUGCCAGCAGCCGCGGUAAUACGUAGGUGGCAAGCGUUAUCCGGAAUUAUUGGGCGUAAAGCGCGCGUAGGCGGUUUUUUAAGUCUGAUGUGAAAGCCCACGGCUCAACCGUGGAGGGUCAUUGGAAACUGGAAAACUUGAGUGCAGAAGAGGAAAGUGGAAUUCCAUGUGUAGCGGUGAAAUGCGCAGAGAUAUGGAGGAACACCAGUGGCGAAGGCGACUUUCUGGUCUGUAACUGACGCUGAUGUGCGAAAGCGUGGGGAUCAAACAGGAUUAGAUACCCUGGUAGUCCACGCCGUAAACGAUGAGUGCUAAGUGUUAGGGGGUUUCCGCCCCUUAGUGCUGCAGCUAACGCAUUAAGCACUCCGCCUGGGGAGUACGACCGCAAGGUUGAAACUCAAAGGAAUUGACGGGGACCCGCACAAGCGGUGGAGCAUGUGGUUUAAUUCGAAGCAACGCGAAGAACCUUACCAAAUCUUGACAUCCUUUGACAACUCUAGAGAUAGAGCCUUCCCCUUCGGGGGACAAAGUGACAGGUGGUGCAUGGUUGUCGUCAGCUCGUGUCGUGAGAUGUUGGGUUAAGUCCCGCAACGAGCGCAACCCUUAAGCUUAGUUGCCAUCAUUAAGUUGGGCACUCUAAGUUGACUGCCGGUGACAAACCGGAGGAAGGUGGGGAUGACGUCAAAUCAUCAUGCCCCUUAUGAUUUGGGCUACACACGUGCUACAAUGGACAAUACAAAGGGCAGCGAAACCGCGAGGUCAAGCAAAUCCCAUAAAGUUGUUCUCAGUUCGGAUUGUAGUCUGCAACUCGACUACAUGAAGCUGGAAUCGCUAGUAAUCGUAGAUCAGCAUGCUACGGUGAAUACGUUCCCGGGUCU
This 1372-nucleotide ribosomal RNA is filed under the name uncultured bacterium. RNAcentral describes it as "bacterial SSU rRNA". It matches the Rfam family "Bacterial small subunit ribosomal RNA", at positions 28 to 1381 of the family's 1533-position model. The record is from RNAcentral.